GCUCCCAUGGCGUAGUGGUCACUGCGCUCGCCUUGCGCUCGGGAGACCUGGGUUCGAUUCCCGGGGGGGUCA
This 72-nucleotide transfer RNA is filed under the name Diaphorina citri (Asian citrus psyllid). It matches the Rfam family "tRNA". From Rfam's summary of the family: Transfer RNA (tRNA) molecules are approximately 80 nucleotides in length. Their secondary structure includes four short double-helical elements and three loops (D, anti-codon, and T loops). The record is from Rfam by way of RNAcentral. Lineage: Eukaryota; Metazoa; Arthropoda; Insecta; Hemiptera; Psyllidae.